UAGGGAAUCUUCCGCAAUGGGCGAAAGCCUGACGGAGCAACGCCGCGUGAGUGAUGAAGGUCUUCGGAUCGUAAAACUCUGUUAUUAGGGAAGAACAAAUGUGUAAGUAACUAUGCACGUCUUGACGGUACCUAAUCAGAAAGCCACGGCUAACUACGUGCCAGCAGCCGCGGUAAUACGUAGGUGGCAAGCGUUAUCCGGAAUUAUUGGGCGUAAAGCGCGCGUAGGCGGUUUUUUAAGUCUGAUGUGAAAGCCCACGGCUCAACCGUGGAGGGUCAUUGGAAACUGGAAAACUUGAGUGCAGAAGAGGAAAGUGGCAUUCCAUGUGUUGCGGUGAAAUGCGCAGGAAUAUGGAGGAACACCAGUGGCGAAGGCGACUUUCUGGUCUGUAACUGACGCUGAUGUGCGAAAGCGUGGGGAUCAAACAGG
RNAcentral lists this ribosomal RNA (429 nucleotides) under Actinomycetes bacterium. RNAcentral describes it as "Actinobacteria bacterium partial 16S ribosomal RNA". It matches the Rfam family "Bacterial small subunit ribosomal RNA", at positions 355 to 776 of the family's 1533-position model. The record is from RNAcentral. Lineage: Bacteria; Bacillati; Actinomycetota; Actinomycetes.